Molecule: ribosomal RNA, 447 nt
Filed under: uncultured bacterium
Lineage: Bacteria
Description: partial 16S ribosomal RNA
Rfam family: Bacterial small subunit ribosomal RNA
Source: RNAcentral
ACCAGACUCCUACGGGAGGCAGCAGUGGGGGAUAUUGCACAAUGGGGGGAACCCUGAUGCAGCGACGCCGCGUGGGUGAAGAAGCGCCUCGGCGCGUAAAGCCCUGUCAGCAGGGAAGAAAAUGACGGUACCUGAAGAAGAAGCCCCGGCUAACUACGUGCCAGCAGCCGCGGUAAUACGUAGGGGGCAAGCGUUAUCCGGAUUUACUGGGUGUAAAGGGGGCGCAGACGGCGAUGCAAGCCAGGAGUGAAAGCCCGGGGCCCAACCCCGGGACUGCUCUUGGAACUGCGUGGCUGGAGUGCAGGAGGGGCAGGCGGAAUUCCUGGUGUAGCGGUGAAAUGCGUAGAUAUUAGGAGGAACACCAGUGGCGAAGGCGGCCUGCUGGACGAUGACUGACGUUGAGGCUCGAAAGCGUGGGGAGCAAACAGGAUUAGAUACCCUGGUAAG